Bubalus bubalis (water buffalo) is the source of this 1778-nucleotide long non-coding RNA. RefSeq lists it as uncharacterized. NCBI's taxonomy places the organism in Eukaryota, Metazoa, Chordata, Mammalia, Artiodactyla, Bovidae. The transcript has 5 exons. The record is from RefSeq and is a predicted model, not a curated record.
GAACGAUUUGUUGUCCUACUCUUGUGAGUUCUUUCUUUUUCUUUUUUUUUAAAGAAGAAUGAGCUCAAGAAAGAGAAGUCUGCACAUGAAAACAUCUCUAGGCUGAGCCGGAAGGGCGAGAGAGGAGAUGUACCUACGAUUCAUCCUUGUAAACAUCAUAAUCCUUGUAACACGGAUUUCAACAGACGGCUAUAAAUAACAUCUGAUGUUUGCACUCAAGAGUUUCAGGCUCUCAGGUGAUGGCCUGGACAAGUGGCCGCCAGCCCUGCCCUACUGGCUUGCAGCCCAGUCACCUAAGCCUUCCUGUUUUCAGAGGUAGUUUCUGCAUCUCACUCGCCAGACCCUCACUCUCCAGACCCUCCCUUGCUGGGCCCCGGGCCUCCCACCCCAGGUGAUCUGGGGGACCUGCCCCUUGGUGGGAGGACACGUGAUGGAGGGGCCACUGGGUUGCCGGUUUCCUUCCUCAGCAACUCACAGGCCAGUGGCCUCGCACAUGUGCUCUCUGGGUUUGUUUUGAUAGCUUGUUUGAAAAACAGUUCCCAUCCACCAACUGCUCAGAUAAUAAUCUUCCAAGUGGCAAGCAACUGGGAUUGUUUUGGUUGCUGUUUACCCUCAGCAGCGUGGCUCAGCUGGAAGAUACGGGACUGGAGGAGUCCCCUUUCUGGCUCUGGUCCACAACCUCUUCUCAUCCUUAUUUUCUACUGGAAGCAGAGAAGGAGUGAGUCAAACCCUAAGGAUGUUCCUUCCACUAUGCAGACUCACAUGAUGGUGAAUCAGGGGUUCUCAGGAUGUUGUUGCCAAGAGACUUCCUCACAGACACUGUGUGCUGCCUUUGUUUUCCUUUCCAAAUGCAUAUGGAGGAAUCUUCCAGAACUGAGGCCCCAUCAGUGAAUUGCACCUGCAGUGUGGUCCUGCACAUUUUUCUGUAACAAGCCCGGGAAUAGAAGCAGGUGAUGUGAUCUAAUGUGCAGCCUCAGGUCGCAGGCGGGCUAUGGUCAGUCCUGCCUUCAAACCAGGUGAAUUGCUUGGCCGCUCUGGGCCUCAUGUCCUCAUCUCUAAAGUGUGGACCGUGAUGCUGCCUAUCUCACAGGAUUUUACUUCCCUGACUAGGGGGUGUACUCAGGCCCCGGCAAUGAAAGCGCUGAGUCCUAAUUUCUGGACCACCAGGGAACUGCAAACAGACUUUUAAGUAUAUAAUCUAUUAUUUUUUAAAAAAUUUAUUUAAAUUUACUAUUAUUUUUAUUGAUAUAUAGAGGCUUUACAAUCUUGUGUUAGUUUCUUCUGUAUAAUCAAGUGCUUCAGCUUUCCAUUAUGGCUUGUUACAGGAUAUUGGUUAUAGUUCCCUGUGCUAUACAGUAGAUCCUUGUUGUUUAUCUAUUUGAUAUAUAGCAGUUUGUAUCUGUUAAUCCCCAACUCCUAAUUUGUCCCUCCCCGACUCCCUUGAUAACCACAAAUCUGUUCUCUACAUCUGUGAUUCUGUGUUUCGUAAACAAGUUUGUUGGUGUCGCUAUAUCUCACGUAUCCUGUAAGUGACAUCAGAUGAUCAUAAUCCAUGAUUGUUGACUGUUGGUUCAGUGCUGUACAGCAAACCCUAGGGUUUGUUCAUCUCACUUGACUGAAACUUCCUGCUUGUCCCUCAGUAACUUCCCUUUCCCCUCUGUUUCCAGUCUCUGUAACCAGCGUUCUACUCUUUGAUACCAUAGGAAUUUGACUUUUUCAUUUCACAUACCUCAUAUAAGUGGAACCAAGGUUUUUUCUGAUUGACUUAUUCACUGAGC